Molecule: ribosomal RNA, 768 nt
Filed under: Bruchidius uberatus
Lineage: Eukaryota; Metazoa; Arthropoda; Insecta; Coleoptera; Chrysomelidae
Description: 12S ribosomal RNA
Source: RNAcentral
UUAAUUAUAUGUAAAUUUAUGUGAAAUUUUAAAAAAAUUUAAAAAAUUGAUUAAUUUUGUUUGCAGUAAAUAAUUUUAAAUAUUAAAGUAAUUUAGAUUUAGAAAUAAUAAUAAUAUAAACAAAAUUUGUGCCAGCAGUUGCGGUUAUACAAAUUAUAUAAUUUAAUUAUUUUAGUUAAAGUUAAUUUUUAUUUAAGAAAUUGAAUUGUAAAAUUUAUUAGGUGGAAUUUUAAAUUUUAUAAAGAUUUAAUUGUAAGAAAUGAAGCUUAAAAAUUUAUUUUUAAACUAGGAUUAGAUACCCUAUUAUUUUAAAUGUAAUUUAUUUAGUACUAAAUUAGUAUUAGUUAUGUUCUUGAAAAUUAAAAAAUUUGGCGGUAUUUUAGUCUUUUCAGAGGAAUCUGUCCUGUAAUUGAUAACCCACGAUUAAAUUUACUUUAUUUAUUAGUUUACAUAUCGUCGUAGUUUGAAUAUUUUAAGAGAAAAUUAAUAUUCAAAAUUUUAAAUUAAAAAAUAAAUCAGAUCAAGGUGUAGUUUAUAAUAAAGAAGAGAUGGAUUACAAAAAAUUUAUUUUAGGAGGGUUUAUUGAAAAUAAAUUUGAAUAUGGAUUUGAAAGUAAUUUUUAAAUAUUUUUUUGAGAUGAUUAAAGCUCUAAAAUAUGUACAUAUCGCCCGUCGCUUUCAUUAUAAGAUGAAAUAAGUCGUAACAAAGUAGGUGUACUGGAAAGUGUGCCUAGAAAGAUCAAAUUAGAGCUUGAUAAAAGUAUUUUAU